GUGACUUGAAGCUAUUGUAGCUACUGGUAAGGUUACACACGCAUAUGAAAUUGUGGUAGACCUGUGUAUUUGAACUUGUUAUCCAAAUCCCUGAAUCAUAAGGUCGCAUACCUAUAUGAACUUGCAUUCAGGCCUAUGCGUUUGAACUUGUUAUUCAAGCACUUAACCAUAAGGA
Molecule: long non-coding RNA, 175 nt
Organism: Pseudophryne corroboree (corroboree frog)
Lineage: Eukaryota; Metazoa; Chordata; Amphibia; Anura; Myobatrachidae
Exons: 3
Source: RefSeq, a predicted model, not a curated record